Molecule: ribosomal RNA, 2615 nt
Filed under: Staphylococcus aureus
Lineage: Bacteria; Bacillati; Bacillota; Bacilli; Caryophanales; Staphylococcaceae
Description: bacterial LSU rRNA
Rfam family: Bacterial large subunit ribosomal RNA
Source: RNAcentral
GGAGGAAGAGAAAGAAAAUUCGAUUCCCUUAGUAGCGGCGAGCGAAACGGGAAGAGCCCAAACCAACAAGCUUGCUUGUUGGGGUUGUAGGACACUCUAUACGGAGUUACAAAGGACGACAUUAGACGAAUCAUCUGGAAAGAUGAAUCAAAGAAGGUAAUAAUCCUGUAGUCGAAAAUGUUGUCUCUCUUGAGUGGAUCCUGAGUACGACGGAGCACGUGAAAUUCCGUCGGAAUCUGGGAGGACCAUCUCCUAAGGCUAAAUACUCUCUAGUGACCGAUAGUGAACCAGUACCGUGAGGGAAAGGUGAAAAGCACCCCGGAAGGGGAGUGAAAUAGAACCUGAAACCGUGUGCUUACAAGUAGUCAGAGCCCGUUAAUGGGUGAUGGCGUGCCUUUUGUAGAAUGAACCGGCGAGUUACGAUUUGAUGCAAGGUUAAGCAGUAAAUGUGGAGCCGUAGCGAAAGCGAGUCUGAAUAGGGCGUUUAGUAUUUGGUCGUAGACCCGAAACCAGGUGAUCUACCCUUGGUCAGGUUGAAGUUCAGGUAACACUGAAUGGAGGACCGAACCGACUUACGUUGAAAAGUGAGCGGAUGAACUGAGGGUAGCGGAGAAAUUCCAAUCGAACCUGGAGAUAGCUGGUUCUCUCCGAAAUAGCUUUAGGGCUAGCCUCAAGUGAUGAUUAUUGGAGGUAGAGCACUGUUUGGACGAGGGGCCCCUCUCGGGUUACCGAAUUCAGACAAACUCCGAAUGCCAAUUAAUUUAACUUGGGAGUCAGAACAUGGGUGAUAAGGUCCGUGUUCGAAAGGGAAACAGCCCAGACCACCAGCUAAGGUCCCAAAAUAUAUGUUAAGUGGAAAAGGAUGUGGCGUUGCCCAGACAACUAGGAUGUUGGCUUAGAAGCAGCCAUCAUUUAAAGAGUGCGUAAUAGCUCACUAGUCGAGUGACACUGCGCCGAAAAUGUACCGGGGCUAAACAUAUUACCGAAGCUGUGGAUUGUCCUUUGGACAAUGGUAGGAGAGCGUUCUAAGGGCGUUGAAGCAUGAUCGUAAGGACAUGUGGAGCGCUUAGAAGUGAGAAUGCCGGUGUGAGUAGCGAAAGACGGGUGAGAAUCCCGUCCACCGAUUGACUAAGGUUUCCAGAGGAAGGCUCGUCCGCUCUGGGUUAGUCGGGUCCUAAGCUGAGGCCGACAGGCGUAGGCGAUGGAUAACAGGUUGAUAUUCCUGUACCACCUAUAAUCGUUUUAAUCGAUGGGGGGACGCAGUAGGAUAGGCGAAGCGUGCGAUUGGAUUGCACGUCUAAGCAGUAAGGCUGAGUAUUAGGCAAAUCCGGUACUCGUUAAGGCUGAGCUGUGAUGGGGAGAAGACAUUGUGUCUUCGAGUCGUUGAUUUCACACUGCCGAGAAAAGCCUCUAGAUAGAAAAUAGGUGCCCGUACCGCAAACCGACACAGGUAGUCAAGAUGAGAAUUCUAAGGUGAGCGAGCGAACUCUCGUUAAGGAACUCGGCAAAAUGACCCCGUAACUUCGGGAGAAGGGGUGCUCUUUAGGGUUAACGCCCAGAAGAGCCGCAGUGAAUAGGCCCAAGCGACUGUUUAUCAAAAACACAGGUCUCUGCUAAACCGUAAGGUGAUGUAUAGGGGCUGACGCCUGCCCGGUGCUGGAAGGUUAAGAGGAGUGGUUAGCUUCUGCGAAGCUACGAAUCGAAGCCCCAGUAAACGGCGGCCGUAACUAUAACGGUCCUAAGGUAGCGAAAUUCCUUGUCGGGUAAGUUCCGACCCGCACGAAAGGCGUAACGAUUUGGGCACUGUCUCAACGAGAGACUCGGUGAAAUCAUAGUACCUGUGAAGAUGCAGGUUACCCGCGACAGGACGGAAAGACCCCGUGGAGCUUUACUGUAGCCUGAUAUUGAAAUUCGGCACAGCUUGUACAGGAUAGGUAGGAGCCUUUGAAACGUGAGCGCUAGCUUACGUGGAGGCGCUGGUGGGAUACUACCCUAGCUGUGUUGGCUUUCUAACCCGCACCACUUAUCGUGGUGGGAGACAGUGUCAGGCGGGCAGUUUGACUGGGGCGGUCGCCUCCUAAAAGGUAACGGAGGCGCUCAAAGGUUCCCUCAGAAUGGUUGGAAAUCAUUCAUAGAGUGUAAAGGCAUAAGGGAGCUUGACUGCGAGACCUACAAGUCGAGCAGGGUCGAAAGACGGACUUAGUGAUCCGGUGGUUCCGCAUGGAAGGGCCAUCGCUCAACGGAUAAAAGCUACCCCGGGGAUAACAGGCUUAUCUCCCCCAAGAGUUCACAUCGACGGGGAGGUUUGGCACCUCGAUGUCGGCUCAUCGCAUCCUGGGGCUGUAGUCGGUCCCAAGGGUUGGGCUGUUCGCCCAUUAAAGCGGUACGCGAGCUGGGUUCAGAACGUCGUGAGACAGUUCGGUCCCUAUCCGUCGUGGGCGUAGGAAAUUUGAGAGGAGCUGUCCUUAGUACGAGAGGACCGGGAUGGACAUACCUCUGGUGUACCAGUUGUCGUGCCAACGGCAUAGCUGGGUAGCUAUGUGUGGACGGGAUAAGUGCUGAAAGCAUCUAAGCAUGAAGCCCCCCUCAAGAUGAGAUUUCCCAACUUCGGUUAU